RNAcentral lists this ribosomal RNA (740 nucleotides) under Nocardioides luteus. RNAcentral describes it as "bacterial SSU rRNA". It matches the Rfam family "Bacterial small subunit ribosomal RNA", at positions 77 to 833 of the family's 1533-position model. Lineage: Bacteria; Bacillati; Actinomycetota; Actinomycetes; Propionibacteriales; Nocardioidaceae. The record is from RNAcentral.
CCUUCGGGGUACUCGAGCGGCGAACGGGUGAGUAACACGUGAGUAAUCUGCCCCAGGCUCUGGGAUAGCCACCGGAAACGGUGAUUAAUACCGGAUACGACAACCGAUUGCAUGAUCUGGUUGUGGAAAGUUUUUCGGCCUGGGAUGUGCUCGCGGCCUAUCAGCUUGUUGGUGAGGUAAUGGCUCACCAAGGCUUCGACGGGUAGCCGGCCUGAGAGGGUGACCGGCCACACUGGGACUGAGACACGGCCCAGACUCCUACGGGAGGCAGCAGUGGGGAAUAUUGGACAAUGGGCGGAAGCCUGAUCCAGCAACGCCGCGUGAGGGAUGACGGCCUUCGGGUUGUAAACCUCUUUCAGCACAGACGAAGCGCAAGUGACGGUAUGUGCAGAAGAAGGACCGGCCAACUACGUGCCAGCAGCCGCGGUAAUACGUAGGGUCCGAGCGUUGUCCGGAAUUAUUGGGCGUAAAGGGCUCGUAGGCGGUCUGUCGCGUCGGGAGUGAAAACCAGGUGCUUAACACCUGGCCUGCUUUCGAUACGGGCAGACUAGAGGUACUCAGGGGAGAAUGGAAUUCCUGGUGUAGCGGUGAAAUGCGCAGAUAUCAGGAGGAACACCGGUGGCGAAGGCGGUUCUCUGGGAGUAUCCUGACGCUGAGGAGCGAAAGUGUGGGGAGCGAACAGGAUUAGAUACCCUGGUAGUCCACACCGUAAACGUUGGGCGCUAGGUGUGGGACACAUU